Molecule: long non-coding RNA, 795 nt
Filed under: Mus caroli (Ryukyu mouse)
Lineage: Eukaryota; Metazoa; Chordata; Mammalia; Rodentia; Muridae
Description: lncRNA (MGP_CAROLIEiJ_G0003425.1)
Source: RNAcentral
AAUCCUCCGGUGUGAACUCCCAGGGCUGUUGAUGCUUCAUCUACUCUUCUGGCAGUGGGGGCCUGGACCUUAGUUACCCGGGGAGCGUGAGUCAUGUUGCACAGUUGAGCUGGCACAUAAAACUGCGAGUCACACCAGAAGAGGGCAUUGGAUCCCACUAUAGACUGUUGUGAGCCACCUUGUAGUUGCUGGGAAUUGAACUCAGAAACUCUGGAAGAGCAGUUGAUGCUCUUAACUGCUGAGUCAUCUCUCCAGCCCCAGCUCCUGCUCCCUAACCUGCUUGAGUUCCAGUCCUGACUUCUUUCAGUGAUGAACAGCAAUGUGGAAAUGUGUUCUGCCCAGUUUAUAGAACAAGGAAUUGGAGCUUGGAGAAGAUUGAUGGACCACUCAAGUUCCCUGGAUGGUCCAGGAUUCAGACUGAGGAUGGCCUAAAACGUUAGUUUUGCUGGCUCCCUGUGCUUGGCUAACCUUAGAGCCUCUUACCUUACCAUAGUCUUUUCUAUGAAGGACAGAGAUCCAAGGAGUGGAUCAACAUGCCUGAGUUUACACAGUGGACCUGAGGACCUUCACCUCCCAGUGCAAUGCUCCUGUGUACUGCCACUGAAGAGACAGGUGGGAGGGAGCUCAAGGUUGACUUGCCUAACAACCAUUGCUUGAAAGACAAAGCUCCCAAGGAGAGCACAAGAUCCCUCACUCGAGACUCCUCUGCAUCACCAACCAGUGUGAACAAAGCCUGCAGCUGUCAGCAGAGUAUUCUUUGUCUCGGUGGUGACACGCUGUGCCUACAGUUGAACU